GAUUUCGGGUGGGUUCUAGCGGUCCGCCUAUGGUGAGUACUGCUAUGGCCUAUCUUUCUGUCGGGGACGGGCUUCUGGGCUUCACUGUCCGGGACUCGGAGUCGACGUGGUUACUUUGAGUAAAUUAGAGUGUUCAAAGCAGGCUUACGCCCUGAAUACUUUAGCAUGGAAUAACACGAUAGGACUCUGGCCUAUCUUGUUGGUCUGUAGGACUGGAGUAAUGAUUAAGAGGGACAGUCGGGGGCAUUCGUAUUUCAUUGUCAGAGGUGAAAUUCUUGGAUUUAUGAAAGACGAACUACUGCGAAAGCAUU
RNAcentral lists this ribosomal RNA (311 nucleotides) under uncultured Cercozoa. RNAcentral describes it as "SSU rRNA". The stretch from base 111 to 311 matches the Rfam family "Eukaryotic small subunit ribosomal RNA", at positions 752 to 955 of the family's 1831-position model. Lineage: Eukaryota; Cercozoa. The record is from RNAcentral.